Molecule: ribosomal RNA, 712 nt
Filed under: Pseudomonas aeruginosa
Lineage: Bacteria; Pseudomonadati; Pseudomonadota; Gammaproteobacteria; Pseudomonadales; Pseudomonadaceae
Description: bacterial SSU rRNA
Rfam family: Bacterial small subunit ribosomal RNA
Source: RNAcentral
CGUCGAGCGGAUGAAGGGAGCUAGCUCCUGGAUUCAGCGGCGGACGGGUGAGUAAUGCCUAGGAAUCUGCCUGGUAGUGGGGGAUAACGUCCGGAAACGGGCGCUAAUACCGCAUACGUCCUGAGGGAGAAAGUGGGGGAUCUUCGGACCUCACGCUAUCAGAUGAGCCUAGGUCGGAUUAGCUAGUUGGUGGGGUAAAGGCCUACCAAGGCGACGAUCCGUAACUGGUCUGAGAGGAUGAUCAGUCACACUGGAACUGAGACACGGUCCAGACUCCUACGGGAGGCAGCAGUGGGGAAUAUUGGACAAUGGGCGAAAGCCUGAUCCAGCCAUGCCGCGUGUGUGAAGAAGGUCUUCGGAUUGUAAAGCACUUUAAGUUGGGAGGAAGGGCAGUAAGUUAAUACCUUGCUGUUUUGACGUUACCAACAGAAUAAGCACCGGCUAACUUCGUGCCAGCAGCCGCGGUAAUACGAAGGGUGCAAGCGUUAAUCGGAAUUACUGGGCGUAAAGCGCGCGUAGGUGGUUCAGCAAGUUGGAUGUGAAAUCCCCGGGCUCAACCUGGGAACUGCAUCCAAAACUACUGAGCUAGAGUACGGUAGAGGGUGGUGGAAUUUCCUGUGUAGCGGUGAAAUGCGUAGAUAUAGGAAGGAACACCAGUGGCGAAGGCGACCACCUGGACUGAUACUGACACUGAGGUGCGAAAGCGUGGGGA